This 497-nucleotide ribosomal RNA is filed under the name uncultured bacterium. RNAcentral's name for it is "partial 16S ribosomal RNA". It matches the Rfam family "Bacterial small subunit ribosomal RNA", at positions 28 to 507 of the family's 1533-position model. The record is from RNAcentral.
GAUGAACGCUGGCGGCGUGCCUAAUACAUGCAAGUCGAGCGAACGGACGAGAAGCUUGCUUCUCUGAUGUUAGCGGCGGACGGGUGAGUAACACGUGGAUAACCUACCUAUAAGACUGGGAUAACUUCGGAAAACCGGAGCUAAUACCGGAUAAUAUUUUGAACCGCAUGGUUCAAAAGUGAAAGACGGUCUUGCUGUCACUUAUAGAUGGAUCCGCGCUGCAUUAGCUAGUUGGUAAGGUAACGGCUUACCAAGGCAACGAUGCAUAGCCGACCUGAGAGGGGGAUCGGCCACACGGGAACUGAGACACGGUCCAGACUCCGACGGGAGGCAGCAGUAGGGAAUCUUCCGCAAUGGGCGAAAGCCUGACGAAGCAACGCCGCGUGAGUGAUGAAGGUCUUCGGAUCGUAAGACUCUGUUAUUAGGGAAGAACAUAUGUGUAAGUAACUGUGCACAUCGUGACGGUACCUAAUCAGAAAGCCACGGCUAACUACGUG